CAAAUUAGACUUGGCUUCUCUGCCCUCCCACUUUUCACACACUCACAUCCUCUCCUAUUUGUGCGGUCACGGUUAAAUCAUGUUAACAUUUUAUAUUGCUAUUGUUUUUUGUCUUAUUAUCUCUAUAAAAAAAAUUAAUAUAAAAUAUUAACGUGGCUUAACUGUGACCGCACAAAAUAGAAGAGAAUGGAAGUGUAUGGGAAGUGGGAGGGCAGAGAAGCCUGAUCCCACAA
Molecule: non-coding RNA, 233 nt
Organism: Malus domestica (apple)
Lineage: Eukaryota; Viridiplantae; Streptophyta; Magnoliopsida; Rosales; Rosaceae
Source: RefSeq, marked provisional